UACAGAGGGUGCGAGCGUUGUCCGGAAUCACUGGGCGUAAAGGGCGCGUAGGCGGCCUGAUAAGUAGGGGGUGAAAUCCUGUGGCUCAACUGCAGGGCUGCCUCCUAGACUGUCGGGCUUGAGCACGGUAGAGGCAGAUGGAAUUCCCGGUGUAGCGGUGGAAUGCGUAGAGAUCGGGAAGAACAUCGGUGGCGAAGGCGGUCUGCUGGGCCGUUGCUGACGCUGAGGCGCGACAGCUAGGGGAGCAAACAGG
RNAcentral lists this ribosomal RNA (253 nucleotides) under uncultured bacterium. Its description in RNAcentral is "partial 16S ribosomal RNA". It matches the Rfam family "Bacterial small subunit ribosomal RNA", at positions 524 to 776 of the family's 1533-position model. The record is from RNAcentral.